Molecule: ribosomal RNA, 839 nt
Filed under: uncultured archaeon
Lineage: Archaea
Description: bacterial SSU rRNA
Rfam family: Archaeal small subunit ribosomal RNA
Source: RNAcentral
AGGUUACUGCUAUCGGUGUUCGCUUAAGCCAUGCGAGUCAUAUGUUCUUCGUGAACAUGGCGUACUGCUCAGUAACACGUGGAUAACCUGCCCUUGGGUCCGGCAUAACCCCGGGAAACUGGGGAUAAUUCCGGAUAACGCACAUAUGCUGGAAUGCUUUAUGCGUCAAAUGGAUUCGUCCGCCCAAGGAUGGGUCUGCGGCCUAUCAGGUAGUAGUGGGUGUAAUGUACCUACUAGCCUACGACGGGUACGGGUUGUGAGAGCAAGAGCCCGGAGAUGGAUUCUGAGACAUGAAUCCAGGCCCUACGGGGCGCAGCAGGCGCGAAAACUUUACAAUGCGGGAAACCGUGAUAAGAGGACACCGAGUGCCAGCAUCAUAUGCUGGCUGUCCGGGUGUGUAAAAUACACCUGUUAGCAAGGGCCGGGCAAGACCGGUGCCAGCCGCCGCGGUAACACCGGCGGCCCGAGUGGUGAUCGUGAUUAUUGGGUCUAAAGGGUCCGUAGCCGGUUUGGUCAGUCCUCCGGGAAAUCUGACGGCUUAACCGUUAGGCUUUCGGGGGAUACUGCCAGACUUGGAACCGGGAGAGGUAAGAGGUACUACAGGGGUAGGAGUGAAAUCUUGUAAUCCCUGUGGGACCACCUGUGGCGAAGGCGUUUUACCAGAACGGGUUCGACGGUGAGGGGCGAAAGCUGGGGGCACGAACCGGAUUAGAUACCCGGGUAGUCCCAGCCGUAAACGAUGCUCGCUAGGUGUCAGGCAUGGCGCGACCGUGUCUGGUGCCGCAGGGAAGCCGUGAAGCGAGCCACCUGGGAAGUACGGCCGCAAGGCUGAAACUUAA